CAGUAGCCGCGGUAAUACGAGGGGGGCAAGCGUUGUUCGGAAUUAUUGGGCGUAAAGGGUGCGUAGGCGGUUUGAUAAGUCAUCUGUGAAAUCUCUGGGCUCAACCCAGAGUCUGCAGGCGAAACUGUCGGGCUUGAGUAUGGGAAAGGUGAGUGGAAUUUCCGGUGUAGCGGUGAAAUGCGUAGAUAUCGGAAGGAACACCUGUGGCGAAAGCGGCUCACUGGACCAUAACUGACGCUGAUGCACGAAAGCUAGGGGAGCAAGCAGGAUUAGAGACCCCCGUAGUCCCUGUCUCUUAUAA
This 301-nucleotide ribosomal RNA is filed under the name uncultured bacterium. RNAcentral's name for it is "partial 16S ribosomal RNA". It matches the Rfam family "Bacterial small subunit ribosomal RNA", at positions 509 to 809 of the family's 1533-position model. The record is from RNAcentral.